This 30-nucleotide non-coding RNA is filed under the name Homo sapiens (human). Lineage: Eukaryota; Metazoa; Chordata; Mammalia; Primates; Hominidae. The record is from RNAcentral.
UGUGAGGUCAACAACAAAACAACACAAGUG